CCUACGGGUGGCUGCAGUAAGGAAUAUUGGACAAUGCCCGCAAGGGUGAUCCAGCCAUGCCGCGUGCAGGAAGACGGACCUAUGGUUUGUAAACUGCUUUUGAACAAGAGAAAACCCCCUUACGUGUAAGGGGCUGAUAGUAUUGUUAGAAUAAGCAUCGGCUAACUUCGUGCCAGCAGCCGCGGUAAGACGAAGGAUGCAGGCGUUAUCCGGAUUAAUUGGGUUGAAAGGGGGCUUAGGAGGCUGGGGUGAAAGCUUCUCGCUUAACGAGAAAACUGCCAUUGAUACUGUCAAGCUUGAGUACAGUUGCCGUUGGCGGAAUAUGACAUGUAGUGGUGAAAUACAUAGAGAUGUCAUAGAACACCGAUUGCGAAGGCAGCUAACGAAACUGUAACUGACGCUGAGGCUCGAAAGUGCGGGGAUCAAACAGGAUUAGAUACCCGUGUAGUC
RNAcentral lists this ribosomal RNA (450 nucleotides) under uncultured bacterium. RNAcentral describes it as "partial 16S ribosomal RNA". It matches the Rfam family "Bacterial small subunit ribosomal RNA", at positions 338 to 795 of the family's 1533-position model. The record is from RNAcentral.